This 505-nucleotide long non-coding RNA is filed under the name Sorghum bicolor (sorghum). RNAcentral's name for it is "long non-coding RNA (SBIC_LNC016990)". The record is from RNAcentral. Lineage: Eukaryota; Viridiplantae; Streptophyta; Magnoliopsida; Poales; Poaceae.
AUGGAUGAAAAAUUUUUGGGUGGAGAACUAAACAGGGCCUAAUUUGUUUAUUUUCACAUUUCUCGAAAUUAUUGGAAACAUGACAAGCCGAUAAGAGAUAAAACAGGACGAGAUUUCACAGGAACCAAAUGAAAAACAGGCUAUGCUUUUUUCCAGUCAGUAUUUGCAAAAUCUCAUUUUCAUAUUGAUGUAUUAUUUCUUUUUUUUAACAAAAAUGUCUAGAAUAAUAGUCCAAUUGUAUGCAAGAGGCAGACCAUCUCAAAUGAUCUACUCCAUCCGUCCUGUAAUAUAGUGUAUUUAGGACAGAUUAAUAGAGAUUUACAAAGGAUGUAUGUGCCCUCACUUUAUUUUCUAAUAAGAUGCUAUCAUUAAUACGAUUAGUGGUGAUUGAUUGAUAAAUGGAAAAAACAUUUAAUGAAAAAUUGAUUUGUCUUCUAGAAUGUCUUAUAUUUGAGGAUAAAUUUGAAUGUCAUAAUGCGCUAUAUUGUACUCACUCCAUAUCCAC